RNAcentral lists this ribosomal RNA (253 nucleotides) under uncultured bacterium. RNAcentral describes it as "partial 16S ribosomal RNA". It matches the Rfam family "Bacterial small subunit ribosomal RNA", at positions 524 to 776 of the family's 1533-position model. The record is from RNAcentral.
UACGAAGGGGGCUAGCGUUGUUCGGAGUUACUGGGCGUAAAGGGCGCGUAGGCGGCGCACCAAGUCAGGCGUGAAAGCCCUGGGCUCAACCCGGGAAUUGCGCUUGAGACUGGUGUGCUUGAGUACGGGAGAGGAUAGUGGAAUUCCCAGUGUAGAGGUGAAAUUCGUAGAUAUUGGGAAGAACACCGGUGGCGAAGGCGGCCAACUGGACGAAUACUGACGCUGAGACACGAAAGCGUGGGGAGCAAACAGG